GAUGAAGAACGUAGUGAAAUGCGAUAAGUAGUGUGAAUUGCAGAAUUCAGUGAAUCAUCGAAUCUUUGAACGCACAUUGCGCCCCUUGGUAUUCCAUGGGGCAUGCCUGUUCGAGCGUCAUUUGUACCUUCAAGCUCUGCUUGGUGUUGGGUGUUUGUCUCGCCUCUGCGUGUAGACUCGCCUCAAAACAAUUGGCAGCCGGCGUAUUGAUUUCGGAGCGCAGUACAUCUCGCGCUUUGCACUCAUAACGACGACGUCCAAAAGUACAUUUUUACACUCUUGACCUCGGAUCAGGUAGGGAUACCCGCUGAACUUAAGCAUAUCAAUAGGCGGAGGA
This 337-nucleotide unclassified non-coding RNA is filed under the name soil metagenome. RNAcentral's name for it is "partial contains 5.8S ribosomal RNA, internal transcribed spacer 2, and large subunit ribosomal RNA". The stretch from base 1 to 120 matches the Rfam family "5.8S ribosomal RNA", at positions 35 to 154 of the family's 154-position model. The record is from RNAcentral.